UUAUGUGCUUUUUUUUAUCCUUUAACAGGAAUUUUGAGAUGCCAUGCUGAUAUGUACUAUGCUACAACAAAAAUAGAAUUUCUUGAUUGUAUGGAAGGGCUUGCAUAACACUAAGGUUUCAGAUUGUAAAGGUUUCAGUUUUGGUGCUGGUGAAAGGUUUUUGACGUCUCCUGAACCGUUGUAUUCUUCUAUACCUUUGCUGGAGCAAUUUCCAAUGAUUGAGACGUGGUAAGCCGGAGGAUUUAACAACACCUCCAGAUGUACAUGGACGCAGCUGCUUCUUCGGUCGAUAGUGCUAACUCAUGGUGUCGCAAUAGCUGGAGCAGGUGUUUUGAUCUGCAUGGAUUCUUAUAGCUUGUCAGU
Molecule: long non-coding RNA, 363 nt
Organism: Lolium rigidum
Lineage: Eukaryota; Viridiplantae; Streptophyta; Magnoliopsida; Poales; Poaceae
Exons: 3
Source: RefSeq, a predicted model, not a curated record